GCUGUAGCAAAAUCUGCAGCCGGGCGUAGGAACCCGAUUACACAAAGGCGCUACAGCGCCCUUACCAUUGCAGGCGCUUUUUU
This 83-nucleotide small RNA is filed under the name Vreelandella titanicae. RNAcentral's name for it is "Halomonas titanicae isrK". It matches the Rfam family "isrK Hfq binding RNA". Lineage: Bacteria; Pseudomonadati; Pseudomonadota; Gammaproteobacteria; Oceanospirillales; Halomonadaceae. The record is from RNAcentral. RNAcentral also lists the same sequence under 6 other names.